UGUUCUUAAUUGACCGCAAUUAUGGCUUUAGCAUCAUGCGCUGAAAAUCAGCGCUCUUGACAACACUGAACUGAACAAAACAAAUCCAACAUUUUCCCGCCUAAACUGCCUCACUCGGGACUUCGUGUUGAGCGGCCAACAACAGAUUUCUCCCUGUUUUGUCUCGUUACCGGGUUUUCCUCUCCCUCUGUUGUGCAUUAAGAGAUAUUGAAGACCCUGUUCGUGGACCAAAGGACAGUGAAAUCACCGCAAACAAGGAUGUGGAAAAGAUCGGUGUGGCUGGAGGGCAGAAAAGAAGAGGAGUGUGUGGUACCAUCUACCUGGAUAGUUGAAGGCAGUCAGAUUUUAUAUUGGCCAUCAAAAGUUGAUGCUCACAAUGCCUUAACUAGUCGAGAAGACCCAGACCCCAAAUCACGGAGAAAAUUUCCAUUGAUAGAAGUAAAAAUAGCUUCUGACAGUUAUGAGGAAUGUGAGCAGUACCAGCUGACAUCAGCAGUAGACAGUGACAGAAGCAGCAGUGACCUGGAUGGGGAAGAUGGUUUGACCUUGCGUGGUAGGAAGAAACGUAUGAAGAAAGCUCUGCCAAAGGACUUUAUUAGUAGUCAGGAUUUGGAUUGUCCACACUUUGCCUCAGGGCCAUCUUUACAAGUAACAGUUGCUCCCCCCCCACCACAAAAGGUUGUCCCAUACAACCAUCAACACAAAGGCUUGCCAAGUGCAGCAAGAAAAAAAUCUGAAAAGACAUAAUUCAGACAGAUGUGAAAGUAACCGGCAAAAGAAGAGUAGUUACCAACAGCAAGAUGAAGGCAGUCAGCCUGAUACCCUACACGGCAGUUUGGACCUUCAUGACAACCACAGCCUAAGGAACAGAUCUGACCGACAGACGAGACAUGACAGCAGUGACCAACAAAGCAGACAUGACAGCAGCGAUUGACACAACAGACAUGACAGCAGCGAUUACACAGCAGACAUGACAGCAGUGACCGACACAGCAGACAUGACAGCAGUGACCAACACAGCAGACGUGACAGCAGUGACCAACACAAAAGACAUGACAGUCGUGACCGACAUGACAGCAGUGACCGACGCAGCAGGCAUGACAGUCGUGACUGACACAACAGACAUGACAACAGUGACCAACGCAGCAGACAUGACAGCAGUGACCGACAAGGGAGUGAUUGGAUUCAGAAUCUGUCUAGUGAAGACCUUGAUGAUGUUCAACCCUUGAACCAAGGAGAAAACCGUCAAAGUGGAUUUCCUAUGGAUUGGGCAAAAUUCCAGAGGCGAGUCAUUCAUUUGUUGCUGGAUAUGAGGACCUCUUUGCAUACUCUUACUGGCUCUACACCAAGUGACAAUGAUAUAUCAAUUCAACAGCUGGACUCUAUGGAGGAUGCAGAGGCAUUUGAAAAUGAAUUGUGAACACCCUCUUUUUGCAAAGAAAUGACAGAAAAAUUUGUCCACAUAGGUGGAAUUUCAGUGAAGGAUAUGAUAUCAAAGGUAUUGUGCAGCAUUAUGUCGAAGAAGUUGAUGUGUAAAUACAACAUGUAUGGACAACGGGGCAAAGUAGCUUUUAAAAAUACAAGAUUGUGAAGUGUCAUCACAGACUGUUAUGAAGAAAUUCAGAGAUGUGAGUUUAACAGAAAUACACAUGAUUGCAACACAAUUGUGUAAUGUCCCAAAAAUGAAGUAAAGUGGAAACUAAAUCAUGUAGGGUAGUGGGCAAAUAGUGAUGCUGGGUCAGGGGAUACCAUAAAAUCGGGUAACUUCAGACAUUUUUUAAGGUUUUGGCCUAUAAAUUCUUGUAGAACUACACUAUUUGAAACCUGUCCUUACUGUGAAAACUGUUCUAUGAUCUGUCCAACAGUUUGGUUAGACUCAGGAAAACUGUUGAUACCCACAUUUUUAUUCCAGGUACGGUGUGCAAAAAAAUGUAGCAACAAGAUGUGUAUUCUCAAAGCAUGAACAGAAAUUUGUAUUAGUAAUUAAGAGCCACACCUGUAAUAUCAAGGCAUACUGUGUAGAACAGUCCUUGAGUUAGGGCUGAGGAGGUAAAACUAAAAUCUGAAAUCUGACUCCUUUAUUUUGAAAUAACUGCCACAAAAUGGUUGUCGAUAAUGAAACUGGCUUUAUAAUGCUACCAAGAACUCAGCUGGAGUCGGAGUCAUGGUAACUUUACUGCCUCCUGCCUCCUUUCACCCACUAUUGCUGUGACUUGACUACAGGCCUGCCAUGAAUAACAGCAAAUUGUGAAAAUGAUGUACAGUAUUGUAUUGUGGCUU
Long non-coding RNA from Eriocheir sinensis (Chinese mitten crab), 2279 nucleotides. RefSeq lists it as uncharacterized. The record is from RefSeq and is a predicted model, not a curated record. The transcript has 6 exons. NCBI's taxonomy places the organism in Eukaryota, Metazoa, Arthropoda, Malacostraca, Decapoda, Varunidae.